CAGUAGCCACGGGAAUACAGAGGGUGCAAGCGUUAAUCGGAAUUACUGGGCGUAAAGCGCGCGUAGGUGGUUUGUUAAGUUGGAUGUGAAAUCCCCGGGCUCAACCUGGGAACUGCAUCCAAAACUGGCAAGCUAGAGUAUGGUAGAGGGUGGUGGAAUUUCCUGUGUAGCGGUGAAAUGCGUAGAUAUAGGAAGGAACACCAGUGGCGAAGGCGACCACCUGGACUGAUACUGACACUGAGGUGCGAAAGCGUGGGGAGCAAACAGGAUUAGAUACCCCGGUAGUCCCUGUCUCUUAUAC
This 301-nucleotide ribosomal RNA is filed under the name uncultured bacterium. RNAcentral's name for it is "partial 16S ribosomal RNA". It matches the Rfam family "Bacterial small subunit ribosomal RNA", at positions 509 to 807 of the family's 1533-position model. The record is from RNAcentral.